Molecule: transfer RNA, 73 nt
Filed under: Ailuropoda melanoleuca (giant panda)
Lineage: Eukaryota; Metazoa; Chordata; Mammalia; Carnivora; Ursidae
Rfam family: tRNA
About the family: Transfer RNA (tRNA) molecules are approximately 80 nucleotides in length. Their secondary structure includes four short double-helical elements and three loops (D, anti-codon, and T loops).
Source: Rfam by way of RNAcentral
ACCUGGCUGGCUCAGUUGGAGGAGUGUGGGACUCUCGAUCUUGGGGUCAUGGAUUCAAACCCCAUGUUGGGUG